AGAUGGAUUGGUGCCUUCGGGAACUCUGAGACAGGUGCUGCAUGGCUGUCGUCAGCUCGUGUUGUGAAAUGUUGGGUUAAGUCCCGCAACGAGCGCAACCCUUAUCCUUUGUUGCCAGCGGUUCGGCCGGGAACUCAAAGGAGACUGCCAGUGAUAAACUGGAGGAAGGUGGGGAUGACGUCAAGUCAUCAUGGCCCUUACGAGUAGGGCUACACACGUGCUACAAUGGCAUAUACAAAGAGAAGCGACCUCGCGAGAGCAAGCGGACCUCAUAAAGUAUGUCGUAGUCCGGAUUGGAGUCUGCAACUCGACUCCAUGAAGUCGGAAUCGCUAGUAAUCGUAGAUCAGAAUGCUACGGUGAAUACGUUCC
RNAcentral lists this ribosomal RNA (370 nucleotides) under Serratia sp. R1(2009). Its description in RNAcentral is "bacterial SSU rRNA". It matches the Rfam family "Bacterial small subunit ribosomal RNA", at positions 1004 to 1374 of the family's 1533-position model. The record is from RNAcentral. Lineage: Bacteria; Pseudomonadati; Pseudomonadota; Gammaproteobacteria; Enterobacterales; Yersiniaceae.